RNAcentral lists this unclassified non-coding RNA (320 nucleotides) under Hevea brasiliensis (rubber tree). The record is from RNAcentral. Lineage: Eukaryota; Viridiplantae; Streptophyta; Magnoliopsida; Malpighiales; Euphorbiaceae.
CAUUUGUCAUCCCCUUCUUCCAAUGCUUCUGCAAUCAACCUUUCCAUAACCCCACUUCUAGAUAGCAAAGGAAACUUGUGAAGAUGGAAGGUCAUCUCCCCCNNNNNNNUCCACAACAAUAUCACUAGGAAGCCCAGUGGUGCAGAACCAGGCCUGCCCUUGCCUUUGGAAUGCAUCACUUUUAGAUCCCAAUUUCGUGCAAGCCAUUUUCUNGCCAUUUUCUCAGAAUGCAAGCAGCGAAAUCUUAGAGAUCCUAGCUUCCUGGCAGGUAAGCUAAUGCAGUGCUCAAAGUAGAUCUCUUUUAACCCUGUAAUCACAAC